CCUACGGGCGGCAGCAGUGGGGAAUAUUGGUCAAUGGACGAGAGUCUGAACCAGCCAAGUAGCGUGAAGGAUGACUGCCCUAUGGGUUGUAAACUUCUUUUAUAUGGGAAUAAAAUGUUCCACGUGUAGGAUUUUGUAUGUACCAUAUGAAUAAGGAUCGGCUAACUCCGUGCCAGCAGCCGCGGUAAUACGGAGGAUUCGAGCGUUAUCCGGAUUUAUUGGGUUUAAAGGGUGCGUAGGUGGUUUGUUAAGUCAGUUGUGAAAGUUUGCGGCUCAACCGUAAAAUUGCCGUUGAUACUGGCAGUCUUGAGUACAGUAGAGGUAGGCGGAAUGCGUGGUGUAGCGGUGAAAUGCUUAGAUAUCACGAAGAACACCGAUUGCGAAGGCAGCUCACUGGACUGCAACUGACACUGAGGCUCGAAAGUGUGGGGAUCAAACAGGAUUAGAUACCCGAGUAGUC
This 460-nucleotide ribosomal RNA is filed under the name uncultured bacterium. RNAcentral describes it as "partial 16S ribosomal RNA". It matches the Rfam family "Bacterial small subunit ribosomal RNA", at positions 338 to 795 of the family's 1533-position model. The record is from RNAcentral.